UGGGGAAUUUUGGACAAUGGGCGAAAGCCUGAUCCAGCAAUGCCGCGUGUGUGAAGAAGGCCUUCGGGUUGUAAAGCACUUUUGUCCGGAAAGAAAUCCUCUGGGUUAAUACCUCGGGGGGAUGACGGUACCGGAAGAAUAAGCACCGGCUAACUACGUGCCAGCAGCCGCGGUAAUACGUAGGGUGCAAGCGUUAAUCGGAAUUACUGGGCGUAAAGCGUGCGCAGGCGGUUUUGUAAGACGGAUGUGAAAUCCCCGGGCUUAACCUGGGAACUGCAUUCGUGACCGCAAGGCUAGAGUAUGGCAGAGGGGGGUAGAAUUCCACGUGUAGCAGUGAAAUGCGUAGAGAUGUGGAGGAAUACCGAUGGCGAAGGCAGCCCCCUGGGCCAAUACUGACGCUCAUGCUCGAAAGCGUGGGGAGCAAACA
RNAcentral lists this ribosomal RNA (427 nucleotides) under uncultured bacterium. Its description in RNAcentral is "bacterial SSU rRNA". It matches the Rfam family "Bacterial small subunit ribosomal RNA", at positions 355 to 774 of the family's 1533-position model. The record is from RNAcentral.